AUACUUUUCUGCCAAGGGAGAGAUAAUUAUUAUGAAGGUGAUUUUCCUAGGCUGAGGCUUAUCCAUUGCACUCUGGAUAUGCCUGCCCCUGUGAUUUCCCCAAAUGUAGGAAAUUCAACUGCAUAAUUUAUAGUAGUGAGGGACUGUGUUCAUGCUCUCCCCUU
Small nuclear RNA from Microtus oregoni (creeping vole), 164 nucleotides. RefSeq annotates it as U1 spliceosomal RNA. Lineage: Eukaryota; Metazoa; Chordata; Mammalia; Rodentia; Cricetidae. The transcript has a single exon. The record is from RefSeq and is a predicted model, not a curated record.